RNAcentral lists this transfer RNA (85 nucleotides) under Felis catus (domestic cat). It matches the Rfam family "tRNA". Rfam says of the family: Transfer RNA (tRNA) molecules are approximately 80 nucleotides in length. Their secondary structure includes four short double-helical elements and three loops (D, anti-codon, and T loops). The record is from Rfam by way of RNAcentral. Lineage: Eukaryota; Metazoa; Chordata; Mammalia; Carnivora; Felidae.
GCCUGGGUGGUUCAGUCGGUUGAGCGUCCGACUUCGGCUCGGGUCAUGAUCUCGUGGUUUGUGGGUUCGAGCCCCGCAUCGGGCU